RNAcentral lists this ribosomal RNA (253 nucleotides) under uncultured bacterium. RNAcentral's name for it is "partial 16S ribosomal RNA". It matches the Rfam family "Bacterial small subunit ribosomal RNA", at positions 524 to 776 of the family's 1533-position model. The record is from RNAcentral.
UACGAAGGGGGCUAGCGUUGCUCGGAAUUACUGGGCGUAAAGCGCACGUAGGCGGCUUUCUAAGUCGGGGGUGAAAUCCUGGAGCUCAACCCCAGAACUGCCUUCGAUACUGGAAAGCUCGAGUCCGGGAGAGGUGAGUGGAACUGCGAGUGUAGAGGUGAAAUUCGUAGAUAUUCGCAAGAACACCAGUGGCGAAGGCGGCUCACUGGCCCGGUACUGACGCUGAGGUGCGAAAGCGUGGGGAGCAAACAGG